Molecule: transfer RNA, 74 nt
Filed under: Deltaproteobacteria bacterium
Lineage: Bacteria; Pseudomonadati; Myxococcota; Myxococcia
Description: tRNA-Ile
Rfam family: tRNA
About the family: Transfer RNA (tRNA) molecules are approximately 80 nucleotides in length. Their secondary structure includes four short double-helical elements and three loops (D, anti-codon, and T loops).
Source: RNAcentral
GGGCCUGUAGCUCAGUUGGUUAGAGCGCACCCCUGAUAAGGGUGAGGCCGGACGUUCAAAUCGUCCCAGGCCCA